This 1575-nucleotide ribosomal RNA is filed under the name Staphylococcus aureus. Its description in RNAcentral is "partial 23S ribosomal RNA". It matches the Rfam family "Bacterial large subunit ribosomal RNA", at positions 1352 to 2925 of the family's 2925-position model. The record is from RNAcentral. Lineage: Bacteria; Bacillati; Bacillota; Bacilli; Caryophanales; Staphylococcaceae.
UUCCAGAGGAAGGCUCGUCCGCUCUGGGUUAGUCGGGUCCUAAGCUGAGGCCGACAGGCGUAGGCGAUGGAUAACAGGUUGAUAUUCCUGUACCACCUAUAAUCGUUUUAAUCGAUGGGGGGACGCAGUAGGAUAGGCGAAGCGUGCGAUUGGAUUGCACGUCUAAGCAGUAAGGCUGAGUAUUAGGCAAAUCCGGUACUCGUUAAGGCUGAGCUGUGAUGGGGAGAAGACAUUGUGUCUUCGAGUCGUUGAUUUCACACUGCCGAGAAAAGCCUCUAGAUAGAAAAUAGGUGCCCGUACCGCAAACCGACACAGGUAGUCAAGAUGAGAAUUCUAAGGUGAGCGAGCGAACUCUCGUUAAGGAACUCGGCAAAAUGACCCCGUAACUUCGGGAGAAGGGGUGCUCUUUAGGGUUAACGCCCAGAAGAGCCGCAGUGAAUAGGCCCAAGCGACUGUUUAUCAAAAACACAGGUCUCUGCUAAACCGUAAGGUGAUGUAUAGGGGCUGACGCCUGCCCGGUGCUGGAAGGUUAAGAGGAGUGGUUAGCUUCUGCGAAGCUACGAAUCGAAGCCCCAGUAAACGGCGGCCGUAACUAUAACGGUCCUAAGGUAGCGAAAUUCCUUGUCGGGUAAGUUCCGACCCGCACGAAAGGCGUAACGAUUUGGGCACUGUCUCAACGAGAGACUCGGUGAAAUCAUAGUACCUGUGAAGAUGCAGGUUACCCGCGACAGGACGGAAAGACCCCGUGGAGCUUUACUGUAGCCUGAUAUUGAAAUUCGGCACAGCUUGUACAGGAUAGGUAGGAGCCUUUGAAACGUGAGCGCUAGCUUACGUGGAGGCGCUGGUGGGAUACUACCCUAGCUGUGUUGGCUUUCUAACCCGCACCACUUAUCGUGGUGGGAGACAGUGUCAGGCGGGCAGUUUGACUGGGGCGGUCGCCUCCUAAAAGGUAACGGAGGCGCUCAAAGGUUCCCUCAGAAUGGUUGGAAAUCAUUCAUAGAGUGUAAAGGCAUAAGGGAGCUUGACUGCGAGACCUACAAGUCGAGCAGGGUCGAAAGACGGACUUAGUGAUCCGGUGGUUCCGCAUGGAAGGGCCAUCGCUCAACGGAUAAAAGCUACCCCGGGGAUAACAGGCUUAUCUCCCCCAAGAGUUCACAUCGACGGGGAGGUUUGGCACCUCGAUGUCGGCUCAUCGCAUCCUGGGGCUGUAGUCGGUCCCAAGGGUUGGGCUGUUCGCCCAUUAAAGCGGUACGCGAGCUGGGUUCAGAACGUCGUGAGACAGUUCGGUCCCUAUCCGUCGUGGGCGUAGGAAAUUUGAGAGGAGCUGUCCUUAGUACGAGAGGACCGGGAUGGACAUACCUCUGGUGUACCAGUUGUCGUGCCAACGGCAUAGCUGGGUAGCUAUGUGUGGACGGGAUAAGUGCUGAAAGCAUCUAAGCAUGAAGCCCCCCUCAAGAUGAGAUUUCCCAACUUCGGUUAUAAGAUCCCUCAAAGAUGAUGAGGUUAAUAGGUUCGAGGUGGAAGCAUGGUGACAUGUGGAGCUGACGAAUACUAAUCGAUCGAAGACUUAAUCAA